Non-coding RNA from Nelumbo nucifera (sacred lotus), 73 nucleotides. The record is from Rfam. NCBI's taxonomy places the organism in Eukaryota, Viridiplantae, Streptophyta, Magnoliopsida, Proteales, Nelumbonaceae.
GGUGAUGUUGCUCAAACGGUAGAGCACUUGCUUUGCAUGCAAGAGGUAUGGGGAUCGAUACACCGCAUUUCCA